UACGGGGGGGGCAAGCGUUGUUCGGAAUUACUGGGCGUAAAGGGCUCGUAGGUGGCCAACUAAGUCAGACGUGAAAUCCCUCAGCUUAACUGGGGAACUGCGUCUGAUACUGUAGGGCUUGAGUACUGAUGAGGUAGGCGGAAUUGAUAGUGUAGCGGUGAAAUGCAUAGAUAUUAUCAAGAACACCGAUUGCGAAGGCAGCUUACUAAGGAGUUACUGACACUGAGGCACGAAAGCGUGGGGAUCAAACAGG
This 253-nucleotide ribosomal RNA is filed under the name uncultured bacterium. RNAcentral describes it as "partial 16S ribosomal RNA". It matches the Rfam family "Bacterial small subunit ribosomal RNA", at positions 524 to 776 of the family's 1533-position model. The record is from RNAcentral.